Molecule: ribosomal RNA, 512 nt
Filed under: uncultured bacterium
Lineage: Bacteria
Description: bacterial SSU rRNA
Rfam family: Bacterial small subunit ribosomal RNA
Source: RNAcentral
CCUGGCUCAGGAUGAACGCUAGCGGCAGGCCUAACACAUGCAAGUCGAGGGGCAGCAGGAGGUAGCAAUACCUUGUGGCGACCGGCGCACGGGUGCGUAACGCGUAUGCAACCUACCCAUAACAGGGGGAUAACGGAGGGAAACUUCCACUAAUACCCCGUAUUGACACUUCGCCGCAUGGCGGGGUGACGAAAGCCUUUUUGGUGGUUAUGGAUGGGCAUGCGUGGCAUUAGGUAGUGGCGGGGCAACGGCCCACCAAGCCCACGAUGCCUAGGGGAGCUGAGAGGCUAAUCCCCCCACACUGGUACUGAGACACGGACCAGACUCCUACGGGAGGCAGCAGUGAGGAAUAUUGGUCAAUGGAGGGAACUCUGAACCAGCCAUGCCGCGUGAGGGAUGAAGGCCCCCUAUGGGUUGUAAACCUCUUUUGCCUGGGGGGCAAUAAGGCUCAUGCGUGGGCUGAUGAGAGUACCAGGCGAAUAAGCAUCGGCUAACUCCGUGCCAGCAGCAGC